UACGAAGGGAGCUAGCGUUGCUCGGAAUGACUGGGCGUAAAGGGCGCGUAGGCGGCUUGUACAGUCAGAUGUGAAAUUCCUGGGCUCAACCUGGGGGCUGCAUUUGAUACGUAUGGGCUUGAGUGGGGAAGAGGGUCGUGGAAUUCCCAGUGUAGAGGUGAAAUUCGUAGAUAUUGGGAAGAACACCGGUGGCGAAGGCGGCGAUCUGGACAGAUAUUGACGCUGAUGUGCGAAAGCGUGGGGAGCAAACAGG
This 253-nucleotide ribosomal RNA is filed under the name uncultured bacterium. RNAcentral describes it as "partial 16S ribosomal RNA". It matches the Rfam family "Bacterial small subunit ribosomal RNA", at positions 524 to 776 of the family's 1533-position model. The record is from RNAcentral.